Molecule: ribosomal RNA, 117 nt
Filed under: Procavia capensis (Cape rock hyrax)
Lineage: Eukaryota; Metazoa; Chordata; Mammalia; Hyracoidea; Procaviidae
Source: RNAcentral
GUUUGCAGUCAUAUCACCCUGAAGGCGCCUGAUCUCAUAUGACCUUAAAAGCUAAACAGAGCUGGGCCUGAUCUCCCAUUCAUGGGAGACCACUUUGGAAUACUGGGUGUGUAGGCA